Molecule: long non-coding RNA, 222 nt
Filed under: Elaeis guineensis (African oil palm)
Lineage: Eukaryota; Viridiplantae; Streptophyta; Magnoliopsida; Arecales; Arecaceae
Description: long non-coding RNA (EGUI_LNC009678)
Source: RNAcentral
GAUCAAAUCUUUAUCUGGAUAGUAGCAGAAUAGGAGAUCAAAUCUUCAAAUAUCUGGAAUCAACUUUUAUGGAGGUUUGAAAGUACAGACUCUCUACUUCAUAUGCACGCCAGACAAUGCAGGAAAGCAGGAUGAACUCCGAUCAAAGCACCUUCGCAACCCAACCAAAUGAGGGAGGAGAGAUGCUGGUGUGACACCUCAUACCAGUAAGGGGGAUGCCCA